CGGCUCCGGACGACAGCGUGAAGGUGAGCUUGGAUUUAUUUAAACAUAAAUCACUCAAACUUUCACAAAUGCAAACAAUAAGCAAAAAAAGGCAAGCGUGCCUAAAACACAAAAGAAGCUGCUAUUAGCAGAAGCAAUGACAUGAACUAUGACUUACUUAGUCAGCAAGAGCCAUGAACAGGUGUGACAUAAGACAAUGAACGCAGAACGAGUGCACAGAAAGAAAGACUUAAAUAACAGACAUGAUUAACAACAGGUGCGUGACUCAAAACGUGAAACAGGUGCGUGACAUGACAGGUGAAAACUAAUGGGUGACCAUGGAAACCAAACCAAACAAGGAAGUGCAACCAGGAACUAAAAAGAGUCCAAAAAACAAACACAUGGCCAAAACAAAAACAUGAACAGACAUGACAGAGUGUACAUGGUGUGUUGCAAAAAGACAAGACGCUCAAACACUGAAUAGCUUCACCUUUGCGUUUGACAAGUAGAUUUAACAUUUAGGCUUAGAUUCAACAUUUAGAUUUAAGAUUUAGAUUCAACAUUUAGAUUUGUAUUUAAAUUUGCAUUUAACAGUUAGAUUUGAGAUUUAUAUUUAAAUGUACUAUUUAAGUUUAGAUUUAACAUUUACAAUUAACAUUUACAUUUAUGUUUAGAUUUAACAUUUAAAUUGGAAAUUAACAUUUAGGUUUAGAUAUAACAUUUAGAAAUAGAUUUAACAUUUACAUUUUGAUUUCAAAUUUAGAUUCAACAAUUAGAUAUAUUUAGAAUCAACAUUUAAUUUAAACUUAAAUGUGAUGAAAAUGAGGUAAAUGGGACAAAAGUGAGUUAAAUGUGAGAAAUAUAUUUACUAGAAAUAUAUUUACUAGAAGUGUGACUGAACUUUUACAUCCGGCGCUCCAUAGCUUAUGUGACUUUGGUAUCUGUAUAAAUCCCGAACAUUUCCAUUAAUGCGUAGAGGUAUUGCAAGGAUAUUUAUAAAACAAUCUUGCCUUACUGCCUACUUCCUGCAAACGGUCCGUUUGGAAAAUGCACAAUUGGUGACGUCACAAAUUGGUCACAAAGCCAUCCGAUUAUCCAUAUAUGGUAUAAAACUACCCAAACUGUGUUGCGCGCGUCCGUCAUUUUAAAUUCAUGUGGCAAGCACCUGUAGUUUAGACCAGUGGUCCCCAACCUUUUUGGAACUGCGGACCGGUCAACGCUUGAAAAUGUGUCCCACGGACAUUGGGGGUGAUUUUUUUUAUUUAUUUUUUUUUCAUAAAAAAAUACAAUCAUGUGUGCUUACGGACUGUAUCCCCGCAGACUGUAUUGAUCUAUAUUGAUAUAUAAUGUAGGAACCAGAAAUAUGAAUAACAGAAAGAAACAACCCUUUUGUGCGAAUGAGUGUGAAUUAUUGUAAAUGAGGGAGGGAGGUUUUUUGGGUUGGUGCACUAAUUGUAAGUGUAUCUUGUGUUUUUUAUGUUGAUUUUAUUUUCAUUUGUAUUAUUUAUUUUUUUAAUUCUUGUGCGGCCCGGUACCAAUCGAUCCACGUACCGGUACCACAGAAGUUUGGGGACCACUGGUUUAGACGACAAAAUGCCUAAGAUACGACUUGAAAAACAAAAAUGCUGUUAUUGGUUGUUUUAUUUAUUAACUUAGGACACUAAUGAAACCUCCAGUCUCAAUUUAAGAAGUAAGAAAUGUCGGCUAACUUUUGUUUCGUGCCUUCAAAUGUGAAGAAUGAUGAAGUCUCUAUGUGUGUGCAAACCACUUGAAAGAUUCCUGCUUCAUGAACCUGCAGCAGUAUGAAGAUGGAUUUUCCCUGAAGCUUAUUUUAAUGGCGGAGUUGGUGACUAUUAUUUAUAGCAAUGGAGGAGACAAUGAAACAGUAAGUAAAAACAAGUUAGAUGGAUAAACCUUUAUUGUCUUAUUCAUCUUUAACAGGCUCUAAGACAAACUUACAAGAGAUGAAAAAUAAAACCAUAAAACAGACACAAAUUGUAAAAUAUAAAAGAUGAUGCAAUAGUGCACAUCUAUUUUUGUCUAAAGUGAUGGUGGCAAUAGGAAUACAAGUUUAAAGAGACAGCCUGAUAGAAGCAACUAGAAUGAUGAGUGCAGUGGGUGUGGGAUCCUGAAUGAUGGAGGUGGCUUUCCCGGAGUGUAGAGAUCUGUUAGGGAGGUUUGGGGAAUCCAAAUAUUUGACUGGUCUGUUAUAUUAUGAGGGAAAGUUUUGUUUUAAGUUUAAUGGUAAGUGAGUUGUACCACUUUGUAGACCAGGGCCAGAGUGUCCUUACUGAUGCUGAAAGACCGGCGUUUCCUUAGCUGGUGGAAGCGCUAAGGACUGCACCUCCUCUACCAGCUGACCAUUGAUGCUGACAGGCUGGAAAAGUGAAAACUGCUGUGAGACCAGCGUUCUUCUGGUACCACAGCACAGCUCUUUGGUCUUCAUGACAUUGAAAGUUGUUGACUGACUGCUGGUGGUCAGACAUUGAAGUAGUGUCAAUUACAUGUGCUACCAAAGCCAUAUCUCCAUAAUUUAAAAAGAGUAAUUCUGUCUCUGCUGCACCUGAUGAUGUUGGUGUAUGCAGACAAGACAAUGAGGGAUAGUACAUUCUGGGGAAAGUCCGGUCUUUAUAAACACUACUGGAUCUAGAGACAUUUAAAGACAUGCACCUGGGGAUAGGUUGAUUAAUGUUGUCUGUCUAUCUGUGUUGGCCCUGUGAUGAGGUGGUGACUUGUCCAGGGUCUACCCCGCUUUCCGCCCGAUUGUAGCUGAGAUAGGCUCCAGCACCACCCGCGACCCCGAAUGUAACAAGCGGCAAAACAUGGAUGGAUGGAUGGAUAUAAACACUUGCUAAUCUCCUAAUCCAUAAAAUCAGUGCUGGAUGCACAUGGAGUUCCACCAGUCAGUUAAUUCAAAUGCUUGUAUGGACACUGUUAAAAGCUGAGGAAAAGUCUGUAAAUAAAAUCCUGGUGUGGGAGUGUGCAGAGUCCAGCUGCUUACCAACAGUAUUCAAAAGAGACAAGCAUGCAUUCUCCACUCCACGUUUGGCCUUAUUGGCAAACUGAAAUAGCUCCAGCCUCUCUGCCACCAUGCUGGAGAGAUGGGCAGACAACCCUCUCUCCCGGCAUUUACAGCGUGCAGAUGUUAAAAGAACAGGUAUAAAAUCAUUCAGGUGAUUCGCACGUCUUUUUUGGAAUCGGGAUGAUGUUUGAUUCCUUCCAGUAGUAAGGUGCACAUCCAGAAUCCACUAACCACUGGAAAAGCUUGGUGAGAGGCCCACUUAGCUGAGUGGAGCAACUUUUGUAGCACCCUUCCUCUUAGCUAGGCUUUAUGUGCGUUUACCCGGUCAAGGAUGGAGGUCACUAGCUUCUCAUCUAUGGUGGGUGCCAGGUGAGGUGAGCUCAGGGCGGGGGCGGAAUCGCCGAAAGAUGUGCUGAACCCGCUGAAGCAGUGGCGUGCGGUGAGGUUAAUGUCUGGUGAGGCACUGCAUCAUCAGUCAGAUUUACAAACAUAUGAACCCUAAAUAGUAUCUUAUUCACCAUGUGAUUGGCAGUAGUUAACGGGUUAUGUUUAAAAGCUCAUACCAGUAUUCUUUACACAACUGUAGCACACAAAAAAGCACAUUUAAUAAAAAAAACAUUAUUAUGGUCUUACCUUUCUUGCUGGACAUCCACAGAGCCAGCCUUUGCGUGUGUACCACGCCAUCCCGAAGUCAAAAGCAAACCUUUUAGCUCCGGCGUUGGUCUACCUUUAAUUAUUACCUCCUGCUUUGAUUGAAAGUCCAGUUUAGAAAACUGUUUUAUUUUACAUAUGUAAUCCUCCAUGUUUUUAAUAAAAGUCCAGGCGAGAGGAAAUAAACAAUCGCUGCACUAAUUGACUUGCAAACUUUUUUUUUUUUUUUUUUUCUUCUGCAGCGAGGAAUGAUCUCUGGGAUCGCUAUCACCCUCUACCACCAGGAGGCCGGAUUACUGCGAGCCUCAGACAGUGAGGCCCCGCCUCCCCUGCCUCUAGUGACUGCACGCCACUGCGCUGAAGAAAACAUUAGGUGGUGGAGUCUUGGCAUUUGAUCACUGCAGCAUCUUGGCCUCCUUCCUUUGUGCCGACAACAAACCAAGAUGAGUCGCUGAUCUCGCUAUAUCAUCUGGGAUGUGGUGUUGCUGUGAAAGCCACUCAAGACAGAUGGCUUGUGGCGGUCACCAAAGUCCAUAGUGCACAUUAAAAAAGCGAGAGAGAUUAAAAAACUACAAAACAUUUCUGCCGAGCGGGGGCAAAUGCACACUCAGCGUAAGGAGCAUCAACCAACUCUACCUCUCAAAACUAACCACUUUAAAAAACAGAAAAAAAGUGGCUUAAAAAUAUGUCUGUAAAACAUAAUGUAUGCACAUUUUUCACCAAAGAACCACCAUUACAUGUUAUAUAGACCCCAGGACAAUGUUUUAAAUGUAGAAAAAAAAUCUUAUGACCCCUGUAAGUCCUUGAGUUUAUGUGGAGUUAACCUCGGAAAACAUCACAUACUAUUAACUCAUGUAGUAAUUGUAUUUACCAGCUUUAAGUAUCAACAUCUUGCUCUGCGUGUACAAAUGAACUGGAAGUGGACUUCUAUUGAAUGAUUGCAAUUUCCACAGUUGUUGACCACUUGCUCAUUUUUAGCAUAACCUGUGUUCAUUUCCAAACUUCUGACCAUCGCCUGGAAACCUUUAAAACAUUACAGGUGGAAGGGGACAGGAUGAAUGACCACCCAAUUCUCCUUUGCUUAGGUUGGCUCUAAAAAAGCGGAAAUGUUAUCAAGUCAAAUGUGGAUUUAAAUGGCUUCACCUUUACUUAUUCACUAAUCGGUUGUUUUAAACUGCUCCACUCUGAUUUGUUGUAUUGACCAAAGAUGUUUUAUUCAUUUAAAAUUUACCAACACUGUAUUUCCUCUUGAGUAAAGGCAAGUAGUUUAUAAAUAUAGAAAUGCAUCCAUCCAUCCAUUUUCUACUGCUUGUCCCUUUCGGGGUCGCAGGGGGUGUUGGAGCCUAUCUCAGCUGCAUUCGGGCGGAAGGCGGGGUACACCCUGGACAAGUCGCCACCUCAUCGCAGGGCCAACACAGAUAGACAGACAACAUUCACACUCACAUUCACACACUAGGGCCAAUUUAGUGUUGCCAAUCAACCUAUCCCCAGGUGCAUGUCUUUGGAGGUGGGAGGAAGCCGGAGUACCCGGACGGAACCCAUGCAGUCAUGGGGAGAACAUGCAAACGCCACACAGAAAGAUCCCGGGAUUGAACUCAGGACCUUCGUACUGUGAGGCACAUGCACUAACCCCUGUACCACCGUGCUGCCCCUAUAUGACAUUUACCUUGUUGUGUAUAUAUAUAUAUAUAUAUAUAUAUAUAUAUAUACUAUGGGACAACUCAUAUACCGCCCAAGCUCCAUUGAAAAUGUGGGCUUUUGAAGAAUAGAAUAAAAAUUGUUCUUAAAAAGCCACUAAAAUCAAAGAAGGACGACAAACCGAAUCCAAACAACUUACUCAAUAUCCAUUUAAUGAAUAUUAAAUUAACACCUUGUAUCGGUGACGUCAACAUAACUUGGUUCACGCGUCCAUCUUUUAUUCUAGAAUAGAAUAGAAUUGACUUUGUCAUAAAAUUUGCAUAUGAUGAGAUUAAGGACUCCAAUUUAAGGUGCAGUAGUGGGAACAAAUAUGGGGUAAAAAUAAAUAAAUAAUAAAAUAAAGAAAUUACACAACAGGCAAUAAAGAAAAAAAACUAACAAUUGAAAUAGACUACUAUCCAAUAAGAAUAAUAAGCAAUCCUGUACAAUAUACAAAACACUAUAGAAAUACAAGACGUAGGUUCGAUUCUUGACAACGUCAGUUCUCAAACGUGUUUAUCACUGUAAAUAUUACAUUUAUUAAAGUAACGCAUUCUGUAUUUAUUAUUAUUAACCAGCUACCAGGAAACAGCUGGAUGAUGGAGAGGUUUUAUCAAAAAAUAAAUACAAAUGAACUAAAUCGCCUCUGU
Molecule: long non-coding RNA, 5979 nt
Organism: Entelurus aequoreus (snake pipefish)
Lineage: Eukaryota; Metazoa; Chordata; Actinopteri; Syngnathiformes; Syngnathidae
Exons: 3
Source: RefSeq, a predicted model, not a curated record